GAUGAACGCUGGCGGCGUGCCUAAUACAUGCAAGUCGAACGGUGAAGCAGGAGCUUGCUCUUGUGGAUCAGUGGCGAACGGGUGAGUAACACGUGAGCAACCUGCCCCUGACUCUGGGAUAAGCGCUGGAAACGGCGUCUAAUACUGGAUAUGUGAUGUGACCGCAUGGUCUGCAUCUGGAAAGAAUUUCGGUUGGGGAUGGGCUCGCGGCCUAUCAGCUUGUUGGUGAGGUAAUGGCUCACCAAGGCGUCGACGGGUAGCCGGCCUGAGAGGGUGACCGGCCACACUGGGACUGAGACACGGCCCAGACUCCUACGGGAGGCAGCAGUGGGGAAUAUUGCACAAUGGGCGGAAGCCUGAUGCAGCAACGCCGCGUGAGGGAUGACGGCCUUCGGGUUGUAAACCUCUUUUAGCAGGGAAGAAGCGAAAGUGACGGUACUUGCAGAAAAAGCACCGGCUAACUACGUGCCAGCCGCCGCAGUAA
This 484-nucleotide ribosomal RNA is filed under the name uncultured bacterium. RNAcentral's name for it is "partial 16S ribosomal RNA". It matches the Rfam family "Bacterial small subunit ribosomal RNA", at positions 28 to 523 of the family's 1533-position model. The record is from RNAcentral.